Molecule: ribosomal RNA, 448 nt
Filed under: uncultured bacterium
Lineage: Bacteria
Description: bacterial SSU rRNA
Rfam family: Bacterial small subunit ribosomal RNA
Source: RNAcentral
AGAGUUUGAUCCUGGCUCAGAGUGAACGCUGGCGGCGUGCUUAACACAUGCAAGUCGAACGGUAGCAGAAACUAGCUUGCUAGUUUGCUGACGAGUGGCGCACGGGUGAGUAAUAUAUAGUUAAUGUGCCCCAAAGACCGGGAUAGCCACUGGAAACGGUGAUUAAUACUGGAUACACCUUCAUAUCAAAAGGUAUGAAGGGAAAUGUUUUUUCGCUUUGGGAUCAGACUAUAUCCUAUCAGUUAGUUGGUGAGGUAACGGCUCACCAAGGCGAUGACGGGUAGCGGUUCUGAGAGGAUGAUCCGCCACACUGGUACUGAGACACGGACCAGACUCCUACGGGAGGCAGCAGUGAGGAAUAUUGCACAAUGGGGGGAACCCUGAUGCAGCAACGCCGCGUGGAGGAUGACGCAUUUCGGUGUGUAAACUCCUUUUAUAUGUCAAGAAA